AUGCAAGUCGAACGAGGUCCACUGAGUAGCAAUACAAGGGAAGACCUAGUGGCGAACGGGUGAGUAUCACGUGAGAAACCAACCCCGGUCUCUGGGAUAACAGUUGGAAACGACUGCUAAUACUGGAUGUCGUCGUACCCUCGCAUGGGGGGAUGACGAAAGGGUUACCGGAUCGGGACGGUCUCGCGGCCUAUCAGCUUGUUGGGGAGGUAACGGCUCACCAAGGCUUCGACGGGUAGCUGGUCUGAGAGGAUGAUCAGCCACACUGGGACUGAGACACGGCCCAGACUCCUACGGGAGGCAGCAGUGGGGAAUCUUGCGCAAUGGGCGAAAGCCUGACGCAGCAACGCCGCGUGCGGGAUGAAGGCCUUCGGGUUGUAAACCGCUUUUAACAGGAACGAAAAUGACGGUACCUGUAGAAUAAGGUGCGGCCAACUACGUGCCAGCAGCCGCGGUGACACGUAGGCACCAAGCGUUGUCCGGUUUUAUUGGGCGUAAAGAGCUCGUAGGCGGUUCAGUAAGUCGGGUGUGAAAACUCUGGGCUUAACCCAGAGACGCCACUCGAUACUACUGUGACUAGAGUUCGGUAGGGGAGCGGUGAAUUCCUAGUGUAGCGGUGAAAUGCGCAGAUAUUAGGAGGAACACCGGUGGCGAAGGCGCCGCUCUGGGCCGAUACUGACGCUGAGGAGCGA
Molecule: ribosomal RNA, 692 nt
Filed under: uncultured Actinomycetes bacterium
Lineage: Bacteria; Bacillati; Actinomycetota; Actinomycetes
Description: bacterial SSU rRNA
Rfam family: Bacterial small subunit ribosomal RNA
Source: RNAcentral